RNAcentral lists this ribosomal RNA (435 nucleotides) under uncultured bacterium. RNAcentral's name for it is "partial 16S ribosomal RNA". It matches the Rfam family "Bacterial small subunit ribosomal RNA", at positions 29 to 507 of the family's 1533-position model. The record is from RNAcentral.
AGCGAACGCUGGCGGCAGGCUUAACACAUGCAAGUCGAGCGGGCGUAGCAAUACGUCAGCGGCAGACGGGUGAGUAACGCGUGGGAACGUACCUUUUGGUUCGGAACAACACAGGGAAACUUGUGCUAAUACCGGAUAAGCCCUUACGGGGAAAGAUUUAUCGCCGAAAGAUCGGCCCGCGUCUGAUUAGCUAGUUGGUGAGGUAACGGCUCACCAAGGCGACGAUCAGUAGCUGGUCUGAGAGGAUGAUCAGCCACAUUGGGACUGAGACACGGCCCAAACUCCUACGGGAGGCACGAGUGGGGAAUAUUGGAAAAUGGGGGCAACCCUGAUCCAGCCAUGCCGCGUGAGUGAUGAAGGCCCUAGGGUUGUAAAGCUCUUUUGUGCGGGAAGAUAAUGACGGUACCGAAAGAAUAAGCCCCGGCUAACUUCGUG